UAAAGCAAAGAAGAGCGCAGAGUGAAUGCCUUGGCAUUGAGAGCCGAAGAAGGACGUGGUUAACUGCGAUAAGCAGCGGGGAGUUGUAAGCAAGCAUUGAUCCGCUGAUUUCCGAAUGGAGCAAUCCGCAUGAAGUAGUUCAUGCAUCCAUAUGUGAAUCAAUAGCAUAUGGAGGGGAACCGCCUGAACUGAAACAUCUAAGUAGGGCGAGGAAGAGAAAUCAACCGAGAUUCCGUAAGUAGUGGCGAGCGAACGCGGAAGAGGCCAAACCGAGAGAAGAAAUUCUUUCGGGGUUCGGACUGCAUUUAGUAUUCCUGAUCUUUAGUCGAACAGUCUGGGAAGGCUGACGAGAGAGUGUGAGAGUCACGUAGACGAAAAGGAGAAGGAGCGAGCAGGAUCCAGAGUACCGCGGGGCACGUGAAAUCCCGUGGGAAGAUGGGGGGACCACCCUCCAAGCCUAAAUACUACUCAAUGACCGAUAGCGUAUAGUACUGUGAAGGAACGGUGAAAAGAACCCCGGGAGGGGAGUGAAAAGAACCUGAAACUCUGUGCUUACAAGCACAUAGAGCACGUCAAUGUGUGAUAUGGUACCUUUUGUAGAAUGGUCCGGCGAGUUAUGGUAUGCAGCAUGGUUAAGGACUUGAGGUCUGAAGCCGAAGCGAGAGCGAGUCUGACAAGGGCGAUAAGUUGUAUGCCAUAGACCCGAAACCGGGUGACCUAGCCAUGUCCAGGCUGAAGUGGAGGUAAAACUCCAUGGAGGGCCGAACCGACCUCCGUUGAAAAGGCGGCGGAUGAGAUGUGGCUAGCGGAGAAAUUCCAAUCGAACCCGGAUAUAGCUGGUUCUCCCCGAAAUAGCUUUAGGGCUAGCGUUGUAUUAGAUUACCGGAGGUAAAGCACUGAAUGGGCUAGGGGCUGAGAAGUUACUGAACCCUAUCAAACUAAGAAUGCCGGAUAAUUGAUGUACAGCAGUCAGACUAUGUGAGAUAAGUCUCAUAGUCAAAAGGGAAACAGCCCAGACCCACAGCUAAGGUCCCAAAAUGGAUUUAAGUGGAAAAGGAUGUGGAAUUGCACAGACAACCAGGAUGUUGGCUUAGAAGCAGCCACUCAUUAAAAGAGUGCGUAAUAGCUCACUGGUCGAGUGACCCUGCGCCGAAAAUUUAACGGGGCUAAAUCAUACACCGAAGCUUGGGAUUGACAGAUAUUCUUCAUGUUUUCAGGCAGGAUAGGAAAGAGAGAAAAUCUGAUGACGCCGAAGAAUGAGGCGGCAUUAAAUUUCUGUUCAAGUAAAAGCAUGAAGAUGUGAAGAAUAUCUGUCGAUGGUAGGAGAGCGUUCUAUGUGGGGAGAAGUCUGAGCGGAAGCGCAGGUGGACUGCAUAGAAGUGAGAAUGCCGGAAUGAGUAGCGCGAAAUAUGUGAGAAUCAUAUUGGCCGAAAGUCUAAGGUUUUUGGAGGAAGGUUCGUCCGCUCCAAGUAAGUCGGGAGCUAAGGUCAGGCCGAAAGGCGUAGCCGAUGCACAUACGGUUGAUAUUCCGUAACCAUCUGUAAUUUAAGCAAAGGGACACUUCAAAAGGGUGUGACCCGGGCGUUGGUUGACCCGGGCGUAAGGGACCGAAAUUAGAGUAGGGAAGCACACUUAGCUGAAGGCGAGAAAAGCUUUGCGUAUAGAAACAGAUGCCCGUACCGCAAACCGACACAGGUGGACAGGAAGAGAAUUCUAAGGCCAGCGGGAGAAGGGUAGUUAAGGAACUCGGCAAAUUGACUCCGUAACUUCGGAAUAAGGAGUGCUCGAAAGAGCCGCAGAGAAUAGGCCCAGGCGACUGUUUAGCAAAAACACAGGUCUCUGCCAAAUCGAAAGAUGAAGUAUAGGGGCUGACACCUGCCCGGUGCCGGAAGGUUAAGAGGAGGAGUGAGAGCUCCGAAUUGAAGCCCCGGUAAACGGCGGCCGUAACUAUAACGGUCCUAAGGUAGCGAAAUUCCUUGUCAGGU
RNAcentral lists this ribosomal RNA (1985 nucleotides) under human gut metagenome. RNAcentral describes it as "bacterial LSU rRNA". It matches the Rfam family "Bacterial large subunit ribosomal RNA", at positions 1 to 1977 of the family's 2925-position model. The record is from RNAcentral.